GAUGAACGCUGGCGGCGUGCCUAAUACAUGCAAGUCGAGCGAACAGAUAAGGAGCUUGCUCCUUUGAAGUUAGCGGCGGACGGGUGAGUAACACGUGGGUAACCUACCUAUAAGACUGGGAUAACUUCGGGAAACCGGAGCUAAUACCGGAUAACAUUUAGAACCGCAUGGUUCUAAAGUGAAAGAUGGUUUUGCUAUCACUUAUAGAUGGACCCGCGCCGUAUUAGCUAGUUGGUAAGGUAACGGCUUACCAAGGCGACGAUACGUAGCCGACCUGAGAGGCUGAUAGCCCACACGGGAGCUGAACCGCGGUCAAGACUCCUACGGGAGGCACCAGUAGGGAAUGUUCCGCAAUAGGCGAAAGCCUGACGGAGCAACGCCGCGUGAGUGAUGAAGGGUUUCGGCUCGUAAAGCUCUGUUAUUAGGGAAGAACAAAUGUGUAAGUAACUGUACACAUCUUGACGGUACCUAAUCAGAAAGCCACGGCUAACUACGUG
This 497-nucleotide ribosomal RNA is filed under the name uncultured bacterium. RNAcentral's name for it is "partial 16S ribosomal RNA". It matches the Rfam family "Bacterial small subunit ribosomal RNA", at positions 28 to 507 of the family's 1533-position model. The record is from RNAcentral.